GAGGAAUAUUGGUCAAUGGACGGAAGUCUGAACCAGCCAAGUAGCGUGCAGGAAGACGGCCCUAUGGGUUGUAAACUGCUUUUGUAUGGGGAUAAAGUCAAUCACGUGUGAUUGUUUGCAGGUACCAUACGAAUAAGGACCGGCUAAUUCCGUGCCAGCAGCCGCGGUAAUACGGAAGGUUCGGGCGUUAUCCGGAUUUAUUGGGUUUAAAGGGAGCGUAGGCCGGAGAUUAAGUGUGUUGUGAAAUGUAGAUGCUCAACGUCUGACUUGCAGCGCAUACUGGUUUCCUUGAGUACGCACAACGUUGGCGGAAUUCGUCGUGUAGCGGUGAAGUGCUUAGAUAUGACGAAGAACUCCGAUUGCGAAGGCAGCUGACGGGAGCGCAACUGACGCUUAAGCUCGAAGGUGCGGGUAUCGAACAGGAUUAGAUACCCUGGUAGUCCGCACAGUAAACGAUGGAUGCCCGCUGUUGGUACCUGGUAUCAGCGGCUAAGCGAAAGCAUUAAGCAUCCCACCUGGGGAGUACGCCGGCAACGGUG
RNAcentral lists this ribosomal RNA (539 nucleotides) under uncultured bacterium. Its description in RNAcentral is "bacterial SSU rRNA". It matches the Rfam family "Bacterial small subunit ribosomal RNA", at positions 356 to 896 of the family's 1533-position model. The record is from RNAcentral.